This 204-nucleotide ribosomal RNA is filed under the name Triticum aestivum (bread wheat). RNAcentral's name for it is "partial small subunit ribosomal RNA". The record is from RNAcentral. Lineage: Eukaryota; Viridiplantae; Streptophyta; Magnoliopsida; Poales; Poaceae.
AUGUGUGCAGCAAAGCGGGAUGGGGGCAUGGGGUUCAGAGACCUCGAGGCGUUCAACCAGGCAUUGCUGGCGAAGCAAGCUUGGAGGAUCCUACAAGUGCCAUCUUCACUGUGUGCAAGAGUGCUCAAGGCGCGUUAUUUCAGCGAGGAUUCGAUCUUGACAGUAACAGCACCGUCCUCUGCUUCCUACACUUUUCGUAGUAUC